Molecule: ribosomal RNA, 468 nt
Filed under: uncultured bacterium
Lineage: Bacteria
Description: partial 16S ribosomal RNA
Rfam family: Bacterial small subunit ribosomal RNA
Source: RNAcentral
GACGAACGCUGGCGGCGUGCUUAACACAUGCAAGUCGAACGGAAAGGCCCUGCUUUUGUGGGGUGCUCGAGUGGCGAACGGGUGAGUAACACGUGAGUAACCUGCCCUUGACUUUGGGAUAACUUCAGGAAACUGGGGCUAAUACCGGAUAGUAGCUCCUGCUGCAUGGUGGGGGUUGGAAAGUUUCGGCGGUUGGGGAUGGACUCGCGGCUUAUCAGCUUGUUGGUGGGGUAGUGGCUUACCAAGGCUUUGACGGGUAGCCGGCCUGGGAGGGUGACCGGCCACAUUGGGACUGAGAUACGGCCCAGACUCCUACGGGAGGCAGCAGUGGGGAAUAUUGCACAACGGGCGGAAGCGUGAUGCAGAGGCGUCGCGAGCGGGAUGACGGCCUUCGGGUUAUAAACCGCUUUCGCCUGUGACGAGGCGUGAGUGACGGUAAUGGGUAAAGAAGCACCGGCUAACUACGUG